RNAcentral lists this transfer RNA (81 nucleotides) under Scleropages formosus (Asian bonytongue). It matches the Rfam family "tRNA". From Rfam's summary of the family: Transfer RNA (tRNA) molecules are approximately 80 nucleotides in length. Their secondary structure includes four short double-helical elements and three loops (D, anti-codon, and T loops). Lineage: Eukaryota; Metazoa; Chordata; Actinopteri; Osteoglossiformes; Osteoglossidae. The record is from Rfam by way of RNAcentral.
GAUGAGAUGGCUGAGAGGUCAAGGCAAUGGACUGCUAAUCCAUUGUGCGUUGCACACGUAAGUUCAAUCCCAUUCUCGUUG